Molecule: long non-coding RNA, 383 nt
Organism: Salvelinus sp. IW2-2015
Lineage: Eukaryota; Metazoa; Chordata; Actinopteri; Salmoniformes; Salmonidae
Source: RefSeq, a predicted model, not a curated record
AAUGCAAUAGUAUUACCAGGAUGCCACCCAGGACAUAAACACUUUGGUGGAAAGCUGCUGCCAUCCCAUUGUGRCAAAAGCAKCAGUGUUGCGUCUCCACAAGCAAUCGAUGACGACACUUGAGGUACGUAUAGACGGGCAAUGUGUUAUCAUUUUAACUUCCACUUUCCAAGAUGAUGUUUCUGUAUGCAGUGCUGCUGCUCUGCACAUUUGUAGAUAAGUGAGUGCUGCUGCUCUGCACAUUUGUGCACUAUCCUUCUGACCCUAUGCAGCAAAGUCCCAUCUACUUUUUAACUCCUCGCACGUGUGGCUUGUUUGAGGUCUGCUGUGAAGGAAUACCACAACAAGUCAACCACUCAGUCUUCCAGAGAUUUGAGACUGGG